Punica granatum (pomegranate) is the source of this 3540-nucleotide non-coding RNA. NCBI's taxonomy places the organism in Eukaryota, Viridiplantae, Streptophyta, Magnoliopsida, Myrtales, Lythraceae. The record is from RefSeq and is a predicted model, not a curated record.
GUCAAAUUGGUUUGGUGUCUAAAAAUGUCUCUGAUGUUGCUCUUGCUUUCUCUCUCACACGAAUCCCCUUUCAGGCACAGAUGAUAUAAUUGAAGUCACAUUUUCAAGUCAAUAGUGGAAGCAAGGUUUCAGGUGAUUCUGUAGAUUAUAAGCCAUUGUCUCGAAGACUGUCAGAUUGUUUGUGUCUCUCACUCCGGAAGAUGGAUCGACCAGUGCAUUGGAUACUGUUCUCAACUUAAUGCUUGGAGUUCUUGCUUGACUGGAUAGUUCUCGUAAUUUUUCCGAAGUAACAUCCUGUCGCCAGCGAUGGGCUCCAGUAUUUGAGUUGCGGAACUCAAGGGUGCUCGAUAAUUUAAUCGAAUCCAACACAGAGGAGGUAAUCAGUCUUCUGAGAUGCUUCUGUAAGAAAAUGGAAGCAAAAAUGCCGCACUUUAACUUUCGCUAAGGGAAACAUGAAGGAGGAGUUUCGAGAAUCUGUUCUUAUAUAGGGAAGCUUAUGAGCUACUGGAGCGAAUUGCCGCAUAGCAGUAACCUGAUCAUAGAAGUUGAUGAGACUAAAUUGACUCUGAUUCAUGCUUUUUUAUUGGCUUCUAAUGGAUAAGGAUGAAGCACAUAAGGUCUCGAGCAUUAUCUCGCUUUAGGAAUGUUAUGACUAUGAGCAACAUGUAUGAGGCUAUCUGAAAAGUAUUUUUGUCCCGGUGUUCUUCAAUAUGUCGUUUGUUGUUCAAGACGGGAAAUCAUAAAAUAUCAGAAACGCUUGCCUGGAGGCCCUUGCUUCAAUUGCCGCUAAAAUGGAUUGGAAGUCAUACUAUGCCUUUCUCAAGGUGCUUCCAUGAGAUUUCCCUAAACCCAGAGAAGCGAAAGGUGCUCCUUUGGCUAAUCUGCUCAAUUUUGGACCAGUUUCACUUUAUGAAUGCAUUUGCAGAUCAAGGACCAGAUAUCUCAUUGGGCCAUGCUUCGGAUGAUCUUGACAUGACAGUGGGUCUGCUGCUUAUACAGUGAGAAAAUGCAGUUCUGCUACAUUCACAGAGACAGAGACAUCCCUUCAUCCACGUGUGCUUCCUAAGAUGCAGAAACUACUUAACUUGGAGAGUGACAAGGUUAAUGUGAACAUCAAUCUCGCUAUGCUCAAGCUGUUGAAGCAGCUUCCAGGAGAAAUAAUGGAGUCACAACUUCCUAGUUUUAUUCACUGCAUCUCAAACUUCCUGAAGAGUCGUCUUGAGAGUAUUCGUGAUGAAGCAAGGUUAGUUUUAGCGGCCUGUUGAAGCAGCUCGGUGUGGAUUACUUGCAUUUCAUUCUCAAUGUUCUCAAAGCGACUCUUAAACGCGGAUUCAAGGUCCAUGUGUUGGGGUACACCUCGCACUGCCAAGUGUCGAAGGUCCUUAAUGACACUGGUAAGGGGAAGUUGGACUACUGUCUGGAACACCUUCUCUCAGUAGUAGAGAACAACAUCCUUUGAGAUGUCUCGGAAGAAAAGAAGGUGGAGAAGAUUGCAUUCAAAAUGAAAGAGACAAAGAAGUGGGCUUCGUUUGAGACCCUAAAGAUGAUUGCCCAGAACAUUACUUUCAGAAGCCAUGCACGGAAGCUUCUCUCUCCGCUCACUUGCAGAAGCAUUUGACACUGAAAAAGAAGGCAAAGUUGCAGAUCAUGUUGAGCCACAUUGCAGCUGGGAUUGAAUAUAAUCCUUUUGUUGACCAGACCAACCUAUUUAUUUUCUUGUACAGCCUCAUAGAAGAUGGUAUAAAUAACGAAAAGGGUCGUCAGACUCAUGAAGACAACAUUCAGGGCAAAGAAAUCCCGCCCACCCGGGUCAUUGGUGGUGACUCACCAAGUUCACAUGCGAUCAUUGUUUUUGCUCUCAGGCUGCUUCAGACCUGUCUAAAGAAAUUGAAACUUGAUGGGAAUGACAAGUGACUGCUGUCAAUGUUGGACCCUUUUGUUGUGCUCUUGUGCAAAUGCUUGGGUUCCAAGUAAAAGGAUAUAUUAUCCUCUUUUCUUGGAUGCUUAAUCCAUCUGAUCAGGUUGCUUUUGCCAUCUCUCAAGCCUUGAGCUGAUAAAAUCAAAGCAGCUCUAUUAGACAUUGCUGAAAGCACGGCAAACAGCAGCAGCCCAUUGAUGGAAUCAUGUUUAAGGUUGUUGACUGUCCUCCUGCAGAGUACACACAUCAGCCUCUCUUAUAAACAGUUGGCUGUGCUGACUCCGUUCCCAAUGUUUGUCUAGCUUGGUAGGAUUUCUUCUCCUGUUGCACUCUCUCUUCUCAAGGCUAUAAUUCAGAGAAAGUUUGCAGCUCACGAGAUAUGUGAUGUUGUGACACAAGUGCAAGAGUCGAUGGUGACAAGUCAGGUAUGAGCACUGAUCGGGCAGAGAGGCUGUGCUUGAGAUGCUUCACGCAAUUGUGGUUAAGUUCCCUGAACAUAUUUUGGACGAGCAGUCUGAGACGAUUUAUAUCGAUCUGGUGCUUUGCUUGUCGUAUAAGCCACCCAUGUCUCGAUUCUAUUUUUGACUACAGCUUAUCCUGGUAUCUGAGUAAGGAAGAGCAACUACGGGGUGCUGCAGCUCAGGUGGGUGAGAAGAACCAACUAUGGGGUCUUGCCAGGGGAAAAAAAAAAUCAACUAUAGGGUGCUGCAGCACAGGUUCUAGGUUUGCUGGUGCAAGUCAUGAAAACUGCCUUCCAAAAACUCGCAUCUCGAGCAUCUUGCCUGUGACUAGAAGUAUCUUACAGUCAGCUGUCAGUGCAGUUGCAAAUCACGAUUGCCUUUCGGAUUUUGAUCAAAGCAAUGGGAAAGAUUGCCUUUCGGAUGGUGCCUGUUCAGAUGAAAGUUGUAUUCGAUGAUUUCCAAAAGUUCACUUUGCAAAUCAGCGGUCAAGAGUCUUUGCCUUAUUCAGAUCAAUUACUUAUACCGGUCUUCAAAGUUUGCGAAGGACAUGCCGGGAAGGUUGUACCUGUUAGCCCAAGAAAUCUCGGAAUCUCUGAGGAGCACAUUUGGAAUAGAGAAUAAUGUUCGGGUACACGCCCAGACAAGGAAGGAAUUCAAUGACGAGAGGGACAACACGAAGCGGGAUGAGAAGCUCAUGGCAGUCGUGGACCCUGCUAGGAACACAAAGAGGAAGCUCAGGAUUGCUGCCAAGAACUGUGCCAACAAGAGACGCAAGAUCAUGUCCAUGAAAAUGCAGAGAGGUGGAUGCGCAAGCAGCAAAGGGAUGAGAAGAAAGAAACCAGGGAAAAUUCCAACUUGCGGCCUACCUGGAUUUAUUUUGACCGGUCUAUACUUCGGUAGGAGGGGCAUUCAUUCAUAGAUCUGGGUUAAGUUUUGGUAAAAACUAUAUAGGGUUAAUUUUUGGUAAAAACUAUACGUUGGCAAAAACUAUUGGCAGGAGGGGCAUUCAUUCAUAGAUCUGAGUUAAUUGCUAGUUCGACCUUUGACUAGCAAAACUUUUGGUUCUGACCAAAAGUACAGAAUUCGAUUGAGUGGUUCUAAUUUAACUUCGUUGGGAAAAUUGUAUUAUCAAAGCGAUCUGAUCUGCUGCUUCAAUCUGGA